Molecule: RNA transcript, 1107 nt
Organism: Otolemur garnettii (small-eared galago)
Lineage: Eukaryota; Metazoa; Chordata; Mammalia; Primates; Galagidae
Gene name: dnaJ homolog subfamily C member 8 pseudogene
Exons: 1
Source: RefSeq, a predicted model, not a curated record
AUGGCCUCAUGGCUGCUUCAGGGAGAGAUUUCAGGCUAUGGUGGCAGCACAGAGGAAGCACUGACGACCUUCUUCAGUGAGGUCUGACAAAUAGAGAAAAGAGAUCCGGUUCUAACAUCCAAAAAUCAAGUAGAAAGACUGACCCCUCCCCCGUUCCUCUUCAAUUUGAACCCAUUUGAGGUUCUUCAGAUAGAUCCUGAAGUUACAGAUGAGGAAAUAAAAAAGAGAUCUAGGCAGUUAUCCCUAGUGGUGCAUCCUGACAAAAAUCAAGAUGAUGCUGACAGCACAAAAAGAUUUUGAAGCCGUGGACAAAGCUUACAAGGUGCUACUGGAUCAGGAACAGAAGAGGGCGCCAGAUGUAACUCAGCCAGGAAAAGACUAUGUGGAACACCCUGCAAAAGAGAAAAAAAAAGAAAGGAAGGAAAACCUACAGCUGUAGGGGAGGAGGAUUCUGAGUUAUUCAAACACGCAGUAUAUAAACAGACCAUGAAACGCUUUGCUGAGCUGGAAUUCAAAAGGAAAGAGAAAACAAAAAGAUAUAUGAAAGGAAAACAACAAAGGGAAGAACAGAACGAAGCUCAAGAAAAAAGCCAAAUGAGAAAGAAUGGCAAAAAAAAAAAAAAACGUUGCGGAAAGUCAAGAUGGUCAUGUGGACAGCUAGUGAGACUUCCAAACAAAUAGAAAGAAGAAAAACCAGAGACCACAGAAAGUAAAAAUGGAGCUGUGUGAGUGACCUUCCAGGGUCACAACCACAGAACCUUCCCCCAGCUGUCUUCCUUCCUGCUUUGAAGGACUCAUUCUUUCCUCCUACUUCUCCCCAACAUAGAGUAGUAUUUGCUUUUUAAUCCAUUUUGUUUUCAAUAUAAUUUAAUAUUGAUCACAGUAAUUCUUUUGUACAUUGAAAUGAGGGCCUUAGUUUUAAAAAGACCUUCCCCUCCCCUCUGCCCCUAGAAUAAGCAGAUUGGAAGAUGCCACCACGGGUGCUGCUUUCUCUUCCCACAGCCAGAAACUUGAUGUUUUGUACUUUACCGAAUUGUGAUGGUUAGAAUCUUCGUGUAUAGUUUGUAGAAACCAUCUAAUUAAACACAUUGCUUAAAAUGGUGUUGC